Glycine soja is the source of this 884-nucleotide long non-coding RNA. RefSeq lists it as uncharacterized. The transcript has 2 exons. NCBI's taxonomy places the organism in Eukaryota, Viridiplantae, Streptophyta, Magnoliopsida, Fabales, Fabaceae. The record is from RefSeq and is a predicted model, not a curated record.
GAUGCUUGUACAUGGCGGCUCAUUAAAAACCACCAACCCUUAAGUUUUGGCGGUUCAUAAUUCUUCUAUAAAAGGACCCAUUGAAGCUUUGUCAAAAACCCUAACCCGCAUAUCCUACCUAUCCCUUCAGCGGCGGAAAGAGGCAAAGUGUGGUGAGGAAAUGUGGAGGUGCGCAUUGCUCAUGGAUUUUGUGGAUCUGCUUUCACCAGAUCCACCCCUAAACUCACCUGCUUAGUUAGAUCUCACGUUUCUAGAAUUUUUUAAUUUUUUUUUAUAUAAGCCUCUUCUGUUUAUCACCAAUCUUAACUUUUCCAUGUUUCCUUCCCAUUGGUAUUUAAUCACUUUGCCCUUUGCUUUCACUUCAAUUUCAUUUCAUUUUGAACUCUUAUCUAUUACAUCUUUGAAACUAUUCCUUGAAGUUUUUUUAUAUAUAAAGAAUUAAUAAUUGUAAAUUUUAUGUGGAUGUUUUGUUUUACUUGAGCAAAAUUGUUUUUGGUGUUGGUGGCGUAGAUUGAGUGCUUCAAUACUGAUUUUAUCACCAAUUUCUUUCCAACUCGUUCAUACACUAUUGCAGAUCAGGUUACUGAUGAAAUAAGGACAGAAGUGAAGUAUCAACGGAUUUUCUGGAACAACUGGUACAUAAUUUUGAUAUAAUCCCAGUUUCACUUAGUUUUGAUUCUUAUUGGUCUAACCAAAGAUCACUGGUAUUGAUCAAUGAACAUAAGUAAUUUACGAGCAAGAAAAAGAUGUACCUUCUUUUUGACUUUGUACCAAUGUCAAGAGAUAAAGAGGACAGAAGAUACACUUUUUACUUUCACUGUAUUCAUUUGAAUAAUAUACCGUCUUAUUAAAUACUUUUCAAAUACGAUUAGGUAUGGUAUUGA